Molecule: ribosomal RNA, 552 nt
Filed under: bacterium XN-80-19
Lineage: Bacteria
Description: bacterial SSU rRNA
Rfam family: Bacterial small subunit ribosomal RNA
Source: RNAcentral
CGAGCGAAUGGAUUAAGAGCUUGCUCUUAUGAAGUUAGCGGCGGACGGGUGAGUAACACGUGGGUAACCUGCCCAUAAGACUGGGAUAACUCCGGGAAACCGGGGCUAAUACCGGAUAACAUUUUGAACUGCAUGGUUCGAAAUUGAAAGGCGGCUUCGGCUGUCACUUAUGGAUGGACCCGCGUCGCAUUAGCUAGUUGGUGAGGUAACGGCUCACCAAGGCAACGAUGCGUAGCCGACCUGAGAGGGUGAUCGGCCACACUGGGACUGAGACACGGCCCAGACUCCUACGGGAGGCAGCAGUAGGGAAUCUUCCGCAAUGGACGAAAGUCUGACGGAGCAACGCCGCGUGAGUGAUGAAGGCUUUCGGGUCGUAAAACUCUGUUGUUAGGGAAGAACAAGUGCUAGUUGAAUAAGCUGGCACCUUGACGGUACCUAACCAGAAAGCCACGGCUAACUACGUGCCAGCAGCCGCGGUAAUACGUAGGUGGCAAGCGUUAUCCGGAAUUAUUGGGCGUAAAGCGCGCGCAGGUGGUUUCUUAAGUCUGAUGU